CCGAGUUGAAAGACUCCAAACCAUCGCGAACCUACCACUGUGUUGCCUCGGCGGGCGGCUCCAGGGCGGAGCCCCCGGCCCCCCUCGGGGGGGUGCCCGCCGAAGGCCCCCCAGACGCACUGUCGUAUCUAGGCUACUCUGAGUACCUGCGCAAGCAGUAA
RNAcentral lists this unclassified non-coding RNA (161 nucleotides) under uncultured fungus. Its description in RNAcentral is "sequence contains ITS1, 5.8S rRNA gene". The record is from RNAcentral. Lineage: Eukaryota; Fungi.